CAACCUCAACUCAUAUGGGACUACCCCCUGAAUUUAAGCAUAUUAAUUAGGGGAGGAAAAGAAACUAACAAGGAUUUUCUUAGUAGCGGCGAGCGAAAAGAAAUCAGUUCAGCACUAAGUCACUUUGUCUAUAUGGCAAAUGUGAGAUGCAGUGUAUGGAGCGUCAAUAUUCUAGUAUGAGAAAUUAACGAUUUAAGUCCUUCUUAAAUGAGGCCAUUUACCCAUAGAGGGUGCCAGGCCCGUAUAACGUUAAUGAUUACUAGAUGAUGUUUCCAAAGAGUCGUGUUGCUUGAUAGUGCAGCACUAAGUGGGUGGUAAACUCCAUCUAAAACUAAAUAUAACCAUGAGACCGAUAGUAAACAAGUACCGUGAGGGAAAGUUGAAAAGAACUCUGAAUAGAGAGUUAAACAGUACGUGAAACUGCUUAGAGGUUAAGCCCGAUGAACCUGAAUAUCCGUUAUGGAAAAUUCAUCAUUAGAAUUGUAAUAUUUAAACAAUAUUAUGAUAAUAGUGUGCAUUUUUUCCAUAUAAGGACAUUGUAAUCUAUUAGCAUACCAAAUUUAUCAUAAAAUAUAACUUAUAGUUUAUUCAAAUUAAUUUGCUUGCAUUUUAACACAGAAUAAAUGUUAUUAAUUUGAUAAAGUGCUGAUAGAUUUAUAUGAAUACAGUGCGUUAAUUUUUCGGAAUUAUAUAAUGGCAUAAUUAUCAUUGAUUUUUGUGUUUAUUAUAUGCACUUGUAGGAUUAACAAUGCGAAAGAUUCAGGAUACCUUCGGGACCCGUCUUGAAACACGGACCAAGGAGUCUAACAUAUGUGCAAGUUAUUGGGAUAUAAACCUAAUAGCGUAAUUAACUUGACUAAUAAUGGGAUUAGUUUUUUAACUAUUUAUAGCUAAUUAACACAAUCCCGGGGCGUUCUAUAUAGUUAUGUAUAAUGAUAUUUAUAUUAUUUAUGCCUCUAACUGGAACGUACCUUGAGCAUAUAUGCUGUGACCCGAAAGAUGGUGAACUAUACUUGAUCAGGUUGAAGUCAGGGGAAACCCUGAUGGAAGACCGAAACAGUUCUGACGUGCAAAUCGAUUGUCAGAAUUGAGUAUAGGGGCGAAAGACCAAUCGAACCAUCUAGUAGCUGGUUCCUUCCGAAGUUUCCCUCAGGAUAGCUGGUGCAUUUUAAUAUUAUAUAAAAUAAUCUUAUCUGGUAAAGCGAAUGAUUAGAGGCCUUAGGGUCGAAACGAUCUUAACCUAUUCUCAAACUUUAAAUGGGUAAGAACCUUAACUUUCUUGAUAUGAAGUUCAAGGUUAUGAUAUAAUGUGCCCAGUGGGCCACUUUUGGUAAGCAGAACUGGCGCUGUGGGAUGAACCAAACGUAAUGUUACGGUGCCCAAAUUAACAACUCAUGCAGAUACCAUGAAAGGCGUUGGUUGCUUAAAACAGCAGAACGGUGAUCAUGGAAGUCGAAAUCCGCUAAGGAGUGUGUAACAACUCACCUGCCGAAGCAACUAGCCCUUAAAAUGGAUGGCGCUUAAGUUGUAUACCUAUACAUUACCGCUAAAGUAGAUGAUUUAUAUUACUUGUAAUAUAAAUUUUGAAACUUUAGUGAGUAGGAAGGUACAAUGGUAUGCGUAGAAGUGUUUGGCGUAAGCCUGCAUGGAGCUGCCAUUGGUACAGAUCUUGGUGGUAGUAGCAAAUAAUCGAAUGAGACCUUGGAGGACUGAAGUGGAGAAGGGUUUCGUGUGAACAGUGGUUGAUCACGAGUUAGUCGGUCCUAAGUUCAAGGCGAAAGCCGAAAAUUUUCAAGUAAAAUACAAAUGCCAAACAAAUAUAUAUAUUAUAUAAAAUCUAGCUAAAUUAAUAUACUUGAAUAAUUUUGAACGAAAGGGAAUACGGUUCCAAUUCCGUAACCUGUUGAGUAUCCGUUUGUUAUUAAAUAUGGGCCUCGUGCUCAUCCUGGCAACAGGAACGACCAUAAAGAAGCCGUCGAGAGAUAUCGGAAGAGUUUUCUUUUCUGUUUUAUAGCCGUACUACCAUGGAAGUCUUUCGCAGAGAGAUAUGGUAGAUGGGCUAGAAGAGCAUGACAUAUACUGUUGUGUCGAUAUUUUCUCCUCGGACCUUGAAAAUUUAUGGUGGGGACACGCAAACUUCUCAACAGGCCGUACCAAUAUCCGCAGCUGGUCUCCAAGGUGAAGAGUCUCUAGUCGAUAGAAUAAUGUAGGUAAGGGAAGUCGGCAAAUUAGAUCCGUAACUUCGGGAUAAGGAUUGGCUCUGAAGAUUGAGAUAGUCGGGCUUGAUUGGGAAACAAUAACAUGGUUUAUGUGCUCGUUCUGGGUAAAUAGAGUUUCUAGCAUUUAUGUUAGUUACUUGUUCCCCGGAUAGUUUAGUUACGUAGCCAAUUGUGGAACUUUCUUGCUAAAAUUUUUAAGAAUACUAAUUGGGUUAAACCAAUUAGUUCUUAUUAAUUAUAACGAUUAUCAAUUAACAAUCAAUUCAGAACUGGCACGGACUUGGGGAAUCCGACUGUCUAAUUAAAACAAAGCAUUGUGAUGGCCCUAGCGGGUGUUGACACAAUGUGAUUUCUGCCCAGUGCUCUGAAUGUCAAAGUGAAGAAAUUCAAGUAAGCGCGGGUCAACGGCGGGAGUAACUAUGACUCUCUUAAGGUAGCCAAAUGCCUCGUCAUCUAAUUAGUGACGCGCAUGAAUGGAUUAACGAGAUUCCUACUGUCCCUAUCUACUAUCUAGCGAAACCACAGCCAAGGGAACGGGCUUGGAAUAAUUAGCGGGGAAAGAAGACCCUUUUGAGCUUGACUCUAAUCUGGCAGUGUAAGGAGACAUAAGAGGUGUAGAAUAAGUGGGAGAUAUUAGACCUCGGUUUGGUAUCGCCAAUGAAAUACCACUACUCUUAUUGUUUCCUUACUUACUUGAUUAAAUGGAACGUGUAUCAUUUCCUAGCCAUUAUACGGAUAUAUUUAUUAUAUCUUAUGGUAUUGGGUUUUGAUGCAAGCUUCUUGAUCAAAGUAUCACGAGUUUGUUAUAUAAUCGCAAACAAAUUCUUUAAUAAAACGGUGCAUUUAUGUAUUUUUGAUUUAAAAUUUGGUAUAACUCCAAUUACUCAGGUAUGAUCCAAUUCAAGGACAUUGCCAGGUAGGGAGUUUGACUGGGGCGGUACAUCUCUCAAAUAAUAACGGAGGUGUCCCAAGGCCAGCUCAGUGCGGACAGAAACCACACAUAGAGCAAAAGGGCAAAUGCUGACUUGAUCUCGGUGUUCAGUACACACAGGGACAGCAAAAGCUCGGCCUAUCGAUCCUUUUGGUUUAAAGAGUUUUUAACAAGAGGUGUCAGAAAAGUUACCAUAGGGAUAACUGGCUUGUGGCGGCCAAGCGUUCAUAGCGACGUCGCUUUUUGAUCCUUCGAUGUCGGCUCUUCCUAUCAUUGUGAAGCAAAAUUCACCAAGCGUUGGAUUGUUCACCCAUGCAAGGGAACGUGAGCUGGGUUUAGACCGUCGUGAGACAGGUUAGUUUUACCCUACUAAUGACAAAACGUUGUUGCGACAGCAUUCCUGCGUAGUACGAGAGGAACCGCAGGUACGGACCAAUGGCACAAUACUUGUUCGAGCGAACAGUGGUAUGACGCUACGUCCGUUGGAUUAUGCCUGAACGCCUCUAAGGUCGUAUCCGUGCUGGACUGCAAUGAUAAAUAAGGGGCAAUUUGCAUUGUAUGGCUUCUAAACCAUUUAAAGUUUAUAAUUUACUUUUUAAACGACAAUGGAUGUGAUGCCAAUGUAAUUUGUAACAUAGUAAAUUGGGAGGAUCUUUGAUCACCUGAUGCCGCGCUAGUUACAUAUAAAAGCAUUAUUUAAUACAAUGACAAAGCCUAGAAUCAAUUGUAAACGACUUUUGUAACAGGCAAGGUGUUGUAAGUGGUUGAGCAGCUGCCAUACUGCGAUCCACUGAAGCUUAUCCUUUGCUUGAUGAUUCGA
Molecule: ribosomal RNA, 3970 nt
Organism: Drosophila biarmipes
Lineage: Eukaryota; Metazoa; Arthropoda; Insecta; Diptera; Drosophilidae
Source: RefSeq, a predicted model, not a curated record